RNAcentral lists this ribosomal RNA (450 nucleotides) under uncultured Glomeromycotina. RNAcentral describes it as "SSU rRNA". It matches the Rfam family "Eukaryotic small subunit ribosomal RNA", at positions 569 to 1023 of the family's 1831-position model. Lineage: Eukaryota; Fungi; Glomeromycota. The record is from RNAcentral.
AGCAGCCGCGGUAAUUCCAGCUCCAAUAGCGUAUAUUAAAGUUGUUGCAGUUAAAAAGCUCGUAGUUGAAUUUCGGGAUCAGUGGGUCGGUCGUGCCACUGGUAUGCACUGGCCCUACUGGUUCCUCCUUCUUGAAGAACUGUAAUGCCAUUAAUUUGGUGUUGCAGGGAAACAGGACUGUUACUUUGAAAAAAUUAGAGUGUUUAAAGCAGGCAAUCGCUUGAAUACAUUAGCAUGGAAUAAUGAAAUAGGACGAUCGAUCCUAUUUUGUUGGUUUCUAGGAUUGACGUAAUGAUUAAUAGGGAUAGUUGGGGGCAUUAGUAUUCAAUUGUCAGAGGUGAAAUUCUUGGAUUUAUUGAAGACUAACUACUGCGAAAGCAUUUGCCAAGGAUGUUUUCAUUAAUCAAGAACGAAAGUUAGGGGAUCGAAGACGAUCAGAUACCGUCGUAG